Molecule: ribosomal RNA, 301 nt
Filed under: uncultured bacterium
Lineage: Bacteria
Description: partial 16S ribosomal RNA
Rfam family: Bacterial small subunit ribosomal RNA
Source: RNAcentral
CAGUCGCCGCGGGAAUACGGAGGGGGCUAGCGUUGUUCGGAAUUACUGGGCGUAAAGCGCACGUAGGCGGCUUUGUAAGUCAGAGGUGAAAGCCCGGGGCUCAACCCCGGAAUUGCCUUUGAGACUGCAUCGCUUGAAUCCAGGAGAGGUGAGUGGAAUUCCGAGUGUAGAGGUGAAAUUCGUAGAUAUUCGGAAGAACACCAGUGGCGAAGGCGGCUCACUGGACUGGUAUUGACGCUGAGGUGCGAAAGCGUGGGGAGCAAACAGGAUUAGAUACCCCGGUAGUCCCUGUCUCUUAUAA